UUUCUACUCUCUUCUCUCUCUUUCUUCUUCGGGUAACCCUAGAGGCUCAGCCUCUGAGCUCUCUCCCUCUUUCAUUGCAAAAAUGGCAAGUAUUCAGAGAAUGCAUAGUCCUCACAGACGUAGUACAGCCUGAAUCAUGAAAAUAAUUAAUGUUUGGUCUCCUUUUCAUUCAAACUUGCCCCAAACGGUAUUAAAAUCCCUCCUUUUACUCUUUCUUUGCAUUGUUAAGUCAAAAUCACGAUUUUUCUGUCAAUUAAAGUUAUGUUGCUUUAUGAUUUUGCGCUAUUUUUCUAUUGGUCUUCGUGGGUUGGGUCAGAUCGACUUUGAAAGGAAUGAAUCUAGCUGUAGAUGUUGUUUAACUCUAAAUCUCAGAAGUUGAAUUCAUUUUUACUGAAAAAAUGGGUUUGUACCAUAUCAUUGGUUUCACCAUUUUGCACAGCCUUGGGGUUCUAUAAAUAGAAUCUCCACCAGAAAAAAAAGAAAAAAAAAAAAGGAAGAGAGAAAAAAGUUGGAAAAAAAAAAGAAAGAAAAGGGUUUUUAGAACCAAGAAGCUUGAACUUUUGAGUUUUACUCGAGGUUUAUGCUUCAUUAGUAUAGUUUUAGACUUCAACUAAGGGGUUAGAGUCUUUUAUAGUUCUAAAAUUUGUUUAUUUUGUGCUUUGUGUGGCUGAGAUUUGAAUUUGGAAGCACCAAGGUCUUCAAAUCCAUUCUUUUCCUGGCUGCGCACUCAAAAGGUUGAGAGGCCGCUUAAGUAAAGGGGGAUCUAGUUUGAACCCUUCCCUGGUGACUAGCCAUGCCGGAGGUUCAUGAAACCUCUUGAAACUUGUGCGGCAUCAGGAAUAAAGGGGGUGAUGACUUGGCCUUCCACCACAUAGUUUGGGAUAUUGAGUUUGAGGACAUGGAACACACAUAUAUCUCGCAUGAUCUCGUGAAUAAAUAUGAUAUGUUUCUUAUAUAUGUUGUAUAUUCAUGUAUAGAAUGGGAUCUAUAAAAUAGUAGUUUACUAUGUAUAUUAUGUGCAUAUAUCAUAUGUAUGAUAGGAACAGUAAAUAUAAAGUAAUCGGGGUUUUCUGGUUUUUCCCCUCUCUACUGCAUGGCCACUUGGGCCGAAGUCCAACCACCUUAUUGGGCUAAAAGCCCAAUAGGGAAAAUUUCUUUCAAAUGUCUUCGAGUCCAAAAGGAAAAAAGGGAAGCUAAUAUAUUGAAGGCCCAAUCAUGGGGAAAAAUGAUAAGAAGGCCCAACCAUGGGUGAAAAUGCUUGGGGUUUGGUACACCCCAUUUCAUUUUAUCCUGUCAUAUUUUCAUUAUCUUUUGGCUUAUUUGUAUUGUAUUUGUUACUUGUAAACCCACAAACAUUAUUGGAACCAUUACUAUGAA
Molecule: long non-coding RNA, 1377 nt
Organism: Lycium ferocissimum
Lineage: Eukaryota; Viridiplantae; Streptophyta; Magnoliopsida; Solanales; Solanaceae
Exons: 2
Source: RefSeq, a predicted model, not a curated record